AUGGCCGACGGCGGUUCUUCUCCAGUGGCGGCUGCGGCGAGAAAGUGGGAGUGGGACCAGGAAGAGUAUCGGUGCGAGCCGGCGGAGUAUUCCGUGGACCCGCGAUACAGCGAGUACGACCCCAAGCAGGGCUGUUUCAUAUGCGUCCGCUACUUCUUCGACGGCAAACUCGACCUGGACGAGGAGUCACCUGCUGGCCCCAUGCGACAUACUGGUAAAAUCUUCAGAGAGGGGUUCCCGCUCGCAAACUCGGUCAAUGUUGUCUCCAUCAAGAUUGUUUCCUCCGACUAUGGCUACCCACUCAAUGUCUAUGCACCUGCCGGUCCCAUGCAACAUACUGGUAAAACCUUCAAAGAGGCGUUCCGGCUCAAAAACUCGGUCAAUGUUGUCUCCAUCAAUAUUGUGUCCUCCGACUAUGGCUACCCACUCAAUGUCUAUGGUGAAGGAUGUGCAUGGGAGGACUGUGAUGAUGAUAGACUCAGUAAAGGCCUGAUGGAGGUGGAUGCUAUCAGCAGGCUGGAAUAUAGUCCCAGAUAUGUGGUUGAUACGGAAACACUUGUCAGCAUGCACAGCAUAUUGGAUUUAAACUAUACAUUCGUAAGGAGGUCGGUGGAGGCCACUGUUGAGAUCAGGAUCCUUGAGGGACCUGAUGAAUUCCAUGGGAAGAUUGUUGCUUCCACUACCAGUAUUCCAUGCGACAUUGUGCUACAUGAUAGCAAAGUGAGUGGUGCCCUAACUGCAGGUGAUGAUGAGUUAUCUGUCGUCACUAUUGAGUUUACUCCAAGGCGCAAUGGUUACGAUGAUGGGAGUAUCACCUGCGGGGACUACAAGAUGCUUCUGAAGGUCACUUGGGCGAUUAUGUAA
This 864-nucleotide ribosomal RNA is filed under the name Triticum aestivum (bread wheat). Its description in RNAcentral is "partial small subunit ribosomal RNA". The record is from RNAcentral. Lineage: Eukaryota; Viridiplantae; Streptophyta; Magnoliopsida; Poales; Poaceae.